UACGGAGGAUCCGAGCGUUAUCCGGAUUUAUUGGGUUUAAAGGGUGCUCAGGCGGGCCAUUAAGUCGGCGGUGAAAUUUUGCGGCUCAACCGUAAAAGUGCCUUCGAUACUGGUGGUCUUGAGUGUGGAUGAGGUAGGCGGAAUUUGUGGUGUAGCGGUGGAAUGCAUAGAUAUCACGAGGAACUCCGAUUGCUAAGGCAGCUUACUAAGCCAUAACUGACGCUCAAGCACGAAGGCGUGGGGAUCAAACAGGAUUAGAUACCCGGGUAGUCCCUGA
RNAcentral lists this ribosomal RNA (277 nucleotides) under uncultured prokaryote. RNAcentral describes it as "partial 16S ribosomal RNA". It matches the Rfam family "Bacterial small subunit ribosomal RNA", at positions 524 to 800 of the family's 1533-position model. The record is from RNAcentral.